RNAcentral lists this ribosomal RNA (499 nucleotides) under uncultured bacterium. RNAcentral describes it as "bacterial SSU rRNA". It matches the Rfam family "Bacterial small subunit ribosomal RNA", at positions 33 to 507 of the family's 1533-position model. The record is from RNAcentral.
ACGCUGGCGGCGUGCCUAAUACAUGCAAGUUGAACGCAACAAAGACACCAGAGCUUGCUCUACCGUCUUUGUUGAGUAGCGAACGGGUGAGUAACGCGUGGGUAACCUGCCUUAUAGCGGGGAUAACUAUUGGAAACGAUAGCUAAUACCGCAUAACAAUAGAGAUUGCAUAAUCUUUAUUUGAAAGUGCCAACUGGUACACUAUGAGAUGGACCCGCGUUGUAUUAGCUAGUUGGUAGUGUAAUGGACUACCAAGGCGAUGAUACAUAGCCGACCUGAGAGGGUGAUCGGCCACAUUGGGACUGAGACACGGCCCAAACUCCUACGGGAGGCAGCAGUAGGGAAUCUUCGGCAAUGGACGAAAGUCUGACCGAGCAACGCCGCGUGAGUGAAGAAGGUUUUCGGAUCGUAAAACUCUGUUGUUAGAGAAGAAUGUUGAUUAGAGUGGAAAAUUAAUCAAGUGACGGUAUCUAACCAGAAAGGGACGGCUAACUACGUG